This 254-nucleotide ribosomal RNA is filed under the name uncultured bacterium. RNAcentral's name for it is "partial 16S ribosomal RNA". It matches the Rfam family "Bacterial small subunit ribosomal RNA", at positions 524 to 776 of the family's 1533-position model. The record is from RNAcentral.
UACAGAGGCCCCAAGCAUUAUCCGGAAUCACUGGGCGUAAAGGGUGUGUAGGCGGUCGUGUUAGUCUUUCGUGAAAGGCUUUCGGCUUAACCGAGAGACCGCGGAGGAAACGGCACGACUCGAGGACGCGAGAGGUAGAGGGAACUCAUGGUGUAGGGGUGAAAUCCGUUGAUAUCAUGGGGAACACCAAAUGCGAAGGCACUCUACUGGCGCGCUCCUGACGCUCAAACACGAAAGCGUGGGAAUCGAACGGG